CUACGGGGUGCAGCAGUGAGGAAUAUUGCACAAUGGGGGGAACCCUGAUGCAGCAACGCCGCGUGGAGGAUGACGCAUUUCGGUGUGUAAACUCCUUUUAUAUGUCAAGAAAAUGACGGUAGCAUAUGAAUAAGCACCGGCUAGCUCCGUGCCAGCAGCCGCGGUAAUACGGAGGGUGCAAGCGUUACUCGGAAUCACUGGGCGUAAAGGACGCGUAGGCGGGCUUGUAAGUCAGGUGUGAAAUCCUACAGCUUAACUGUAGAACUGCACUUGAAACUACGAGCCUAGAGUAUGGGAGGGGGAGAUGGAAUUAGUGGUGUAGGGGUAAAAUCCGUAGAUAUCACUAGGAAUACCUAAAGCGAAGGCGAUCUCCUGGAACAUAACUGACGCUAAGGCGUGAAAGCGUGGGGAGCAAACAGGAUUAGAUACCCCUGUAGUC
This 439-nucleotide ribosomal RNA is filed under the name uncultured bacterium. RNAcentral's name for it is "partial 16S ribosomal RNA". It matches the Rfam family "Bacterial small subunit ribosomal RNA", at positions 339 to 795 of the family's 1533-position model. The record is from RNAcentral.